GAUGAAGAACGCAGCGAAAUGCGAUAGGUAGUGUGAAUUGCAGAUGUAACGUGAAUCAUCGAAUCUUUGAACGCAAAUUGCACUCUCUGGUAUUCCGGGGAGUAUGCCUGUUUGAGGGUCGCCAAAUCAAAAUCGAAAUUCAUUUGCUUUUUUGUAAAUGUUUAUCGGAUUUGAGCCGUCUUUUUUUAUUUUUUUUUAAUUAAAGUGGCUUAAAAUGUAUUUUUUUGGUAUCGAAAAACGUUAUUUUACGAUCGAAUUGAUUAAAAAAACAAACGUUUUCGAAUGCCGCCUUUUUAAUGUAAUACGUUUGACUGUGAUGGUUAAUCAUAGUUUCAUUCGUAUACGAUUUUUUAAUUUUUGACCUCAAAUCAGGUAAGAACACCCGCUGAACUUAAGCAUAUCAAUAAGCGGAGGA
Molecule: unclassified non-coding RNA, 415 nt
Filed under: soil metagenome
Description: partial contains 5.8S ribosomal RNA, internal transcribed spacer 2, and large subunit ribosomal RNA
Rfam family: 5.8S ribosomal RNA (bases 1-121)
Source: RNAcentral